UACGUAGGCAGCAAGCGUUGUUCGGAGUUACUGGGCGUAAAGGGUGUGUAGGCGGCCUGUUAAGUUCCGUGUGAAAUCUCCCGGCUCAACCGGGAGGGUGCGCGGAAUACUGACGGGCUAGAGUGCGGGAUGGGAGAGUAGAAUUCCUGGUGUAGCGGUGAAAUGCGUAGAUAUCAGGAGGAAUACCGGUGGUGUAGACGGCUCUCUGGACCGUAACUGACGCUGAGACACGAAAGCGUGGGUAGCAAACAGG
RNAcentral lists this ribosomal RNA (253 nucleotides) under uncultured bacterium. Its description in RNAcentral is "partial 16S ribosomal RNA". It matches the Rfam family "Bacterial small subunit ribosomal RNA", at positions 524 to 776 of the family's 1533-position model. The record is from RNAcentral.